This 2185-nucleotide ribosomal RNA is filed under the name gut metagenome. RNAcentral's name for it is "bacterial LSU rRNA". It matches the Rfam family "Bacterial large subunit ribosomal RNA", at positions 1 to 2181 of the family's 2925-position model. The record is from RNAcentral.
CUAAGAUAGUAAGAGCAUACGGUGGAUGCCUUGGCGAUAUCUGCCGAUGAAGGACGCGACAAGCUGCGAAAAGCUGCGGAGAGGUGCAAAUGACCAUUGACCCGCAGAUCUCCGAAUGGAGCAAUCCGGCAGGGUUUAUCCCCUGUCACCCAUAUCUUCGAAUAUGGGAGGGAACCGGGCGAACUGAAACAUCUAAGUAGCCUGAGGAAGAGUAAUCAAACGAGAUACCCCAAGUAGCGGCGAGCGAACGGGGCCUAAGCCCAAACCGGUGAAGGAAACUUUGCCGGGGUUGAGGACUGCCAUACGAACUCAACCAUUAGCCGAAAUUCCUGGGAAGGAAUGCCGAAGAAUGUGAAAGCCAUGUAAGCGAAAAUGGAAAAGGGACAGGCAGCACCAGAGUACCGCGGGACACGAGAAACCCCGUGGGAAGCCGGGGGGACCACCCUCCAAGGCAAAACACAGAUAUCGACCGAUAGCGCAUAGUACCAUGAGGGAAAGGUGAAAAGCACCCCGGGAGGGGAAUGAAAUAGAACCUGAAACCGUAUGUUUACAAGCAGUCGAAGACCGCUUAAUAAUAAGGUCAACGGCGUGCCUAUUGAAGAAUGAACCGGCGAGUUAUGAGGUCCAGCAAGGUUAAGCAGGAAAUGCGGAGCCGAAGCGAAAGCGAGUCUUAAUAGGGCGACAAGUUGGAUUGCAUAGACCCGAAACCACAGUGAUCUACCCAUGUCCAGGCUGAAGCACAGGUAAAAAUGUGUGGAGGGCCGAACCUAUAUCCGUUGAAAAGGGUUAGGAUGAGGUGUGGGUAGGGGUGAAAUUCCAAUCGAACGUGGAGAUAGCUGGUUCUCCCCGAAAUAGCUUUAGGGCUAGCCUCGAGGUAGAGAUUGCAGGCGGUAGAGCACUGAUCAGGAGAGGGGCCUACCCGGCUACCAAACCCAGUCAAACUACGAAUGGCUGCAAUUAUACUCGGGAGUCAGACUACGACUUAUAAGGGCCGUGGUCAAAAGGGAAACAGCCCAGAUCAUCAGCUAAGGUCCCAAAUGCCGUGCUAAGUGGCGAAGGAUGUGGCGUUUCAUAAACAACCAGGAUGUUGGCUCAGAAGCAGCCACCAUUUAAAGAGUGCGUAAUAGCUCACUGGUCGAGAGACGCUGCGCCGAAAAUGUCCGGGGCUCAAGCACGGAACCGAAGCUAUGGCAUGAUAGCAAUAUCAUGGGUAGGGGAGCGUUCUUAACAGGAAGAAGCAUGACCGGAAGGACAUGUGGACCGUUAAGAAGUGAGAAUGCCGGUAUGAGUAUCGAAAAGAAAGGUGAGAAUCCUUUCCACCGAAAGCCCGAGGGUUCCUGAGCAACGAUCGUCGUCUCAGGGUAAGUCGGGACCUAAGCCGAGGCGGAGACGCAUAGGCGAUGGACAACAGGUUGAAAUUCCUGUACCGGAUACAAUCGUUUGAGCGAUGGAGCGACGCAGAAAGGCAUAUGAUCGCGCGACUGGAAGAGCGCGUCCAAGUGCGUAUGUUGAAUCGGAGGCAAAUCCCUGAUUCUGAAAGCAGAGACACGAUGGGGAGUUAUACGAAAGUAUGACGAACUCAUAGAUCCUACACUGCCAAGAAAAACUUCUAGUGAGAAAGUAUCCGCCCGUACCGUAAACCGACACAGGUAGGCGGGGAGAGAAUCCUAAGGUGCGCGGGAAAACCCUCGUUAAGGAACUCGGCAAAUUGCAUCCGUAACUUAGGGAGAAGGAUGACCUUAAGUAAGCGAAAGGGAGAAACCCCUGGAACAGAACAAGGUGGCAGAAAAGAGGCCCAAGCAACUGUUUACCAAAAACACAGGUGCCUGCGAAAGCGAAAGCUGAAGUAUAGGUGCUGACGCCUGCCCGGUGCUGGAAGGUUAAGGAGAGAUGUCAGAGCAAUCGAAGCAUUGAACUGAAGCCCCAGUGAACGGCGGCCGUAACUAUAACGGUCCUAAGGUAGCGAAAUUCCUUGUCGGGUAAGUUCCGACCCGCAUGAAAGGCGUAAUGAUUUGGGCACUGUCUCAACGAGGGGCCCGGUGAAAUUGAAAUACCUGUGAAGAUGCAGGUUACCCGCGACUGGACAGAAAGACCCCAUGGAGCUUCACUGCAGCUUGAGAUUGAAUCUCGGUGAUGCAUGCACAGGAUAGGUGGGAGACUUUGAAGUAUGGGCUUUGGCUUAUAC